RNAcentral lists this ribosomal RNA (272 nucleotides) under uncultured prokaryote. Its description in RNAcentral is "partial 16S ribosomal RNA". It matches the Rfam family "Bacterial small subunit ribosomal RNA", at positions 524 to 796 of the family's 1533-position model. The record is from RNAcentral.
UACGUAGGGUCCGAGCGUUGUCCGGAAUUACUGGGCGUAAAGAGCUUGUAGGCGGUUCGUCGCGUCGUUUGUGAAAACUUGGGGCUCAACCUUAAGCUUGCAGGCGAUACGGGCGGACUAGAGUACUUCAGGGGAGACUGGAAUUCCUGGUGUAGCGGUGAAAUGCGCAGAUAUCAGGAGGAACACCGGUGGCGAAGGCGGGUCUCUGGGAAGUAACUGACGCUGAGAAGCGAAAGCAUGGGUAGCAAACAGGAUUAGAAACCCUGUAGUCC